CUCGUAAGAAUCUGUAUCUUGUUAAGUGUACAAUAGAUUUUACAUUGACCUCAUUGUGAAACAAAUACAUUAUUUGAGGGAGAUUUAUUUUUAUUCACUUGUAGGGAUGAAUAUGAGUGAAAUUCACUAAAACUACUGAGCACAACCCCUUUAUUUGUUUCUCCCCUUGUUUGACCUGAGAUAUUUUAAGCCAAAAGUUAAGUGACUAGCUGAUUUUAAGAUGGAGUGAUUUACUCUUGGCUUGGUCAUUAAAUGCUGUUUUAGUUUUAUUUUUUAUGCUUUUAAGUGGAGAGUAUUGGUAGUUGUAGCAUGCAUCAAAAUGGAUUUUCUCCAGUUGGCAUUGCUCUUAUGAGUCAUGGCAUUCAUCGACUGCAGUUUAUCAUUGUAACUUUGGAUAUUUGAGUGUUAUACUAUGACAAACAUUUAACUCUCUUGAGCCCGAAUCAUCGACACAUGAUCAAUGUGAAUUUCUUUAGAAGUGCCGAUUUUCCCUCAUGGCUAUAGUUGAACAUUUUAUUUUGGGGCUUUUUUCCCUUUCUCAGGAUUUGGUUCCACCGGCCAUUUAG
This 566-nucleotide unclassified non-coding RNA is filed under the name Hevea brasiliensis (rubber tree). Lineage: Eukaryota; Viridiplantae; Streptophyta; Magnoliopsida; Malpighiales; Euphorbiaceae. The record is from RNAcentral.